Molecule: long non-coding RNA, 706 nt
Organism: Heterocephalus glaber (naked mole-rat)
Lineage: Eukaryota; Metazoa; Chordata; Mammalia; Rodentia; Bathyergidae
Source: Ensembl
UUUGCUUUUUGCAAGGCUGAAAUAGCACUUGACUUUUUAAAUGGGGUUUUCAUUUAAUUUGUUGCUCCUGUCCUAUUGCUCUCUCCAUCUUCUGGUGUCUCCAGGCUUUGACUAAUGAAACCACUAGCCAGACUUACAGGAAGAGCCAAAAGUUACAUGGUUCCAGAUCUGAUGAAUAAGGUGGAUGAGAACACACCAAAAUUUUUUUAUGAGCCUGCCUUUCCACUGGAUGGCAUUUGGCAGCAUUCACUGCACUUUUGCCAUAGCUUGUGAAGACACUCAUGAAAGAGGAUCUCCAGAACUGCUUUAGAAAGUGGCAAGAACAAUGAGGUGAAUUGAUAAAGAAAAUGUAGUAUAAUAAUACAACAGAAUAUUAUUCAGCCUUAAAAAAGAAGAAAAUACUGCAAUAUGUGAAAACAUGGAUGAAUCUGGAGGACAAUGCUUCAGGCGGAACGCACGCCGAGUCAGCCCGCUGCGGACGGGCAGGUCUGUGCACGCCCUGCCGAGGUCCUGAGUCACGCGGAAGACACCGAAUCACCCCACUGCAGACAGGCAGCCACCUGAUUCCACAUUACCAAGGCGCAGAGGACACCAGACCACCAGACCAAGGUACGGAGUCCCACUGUUCCCGGCCCAGAGGUAGGGGCUUCUGAGCUGUCGUCCUACUGCUCCUGGUCCAGAGGAGGGGGCUUCCCGGUCACCAUCC